AUUGCUGGCCUUUUGGCUAAGCUCAAGUGCAGUAUCUGUUCUUAUCAGUACCUGAUUUUUAUUCACUUCUCUUAGUCCUUGAUAGAUUUAGUGAAUAAAGACCUUUAUAAAACAAAAGUAUGAUAGUGCUAACUGAU
Molecule: small nuclear RNA, 137 nt
Filed under: Catagonus wagneri (Chacoan peccary)
Lineage: Eukaryota; Metazoa; Chordata; Mammalia; Artiodactyla; Tayassuidae
Description: U2 spliceosomal RNA (ENSCWAG00000004169.1)
Rfam family: U2 spliceosomal RNA
About the family: U2 is a small nuclear RNA (snRNA) component of the spliceosome (involved in pre-mRNA splicing). Complementary binding between U2 snRNA (in an area lying towards the 5' end but 3' to hairpin I) and the branchpoint sequence (BPS) of the intron results the bulging out of an unpaired adenosine, on the BPS, which initiates a nucleophilic attack at the intronic 5' splice site, thus starting the first of two transesterification reactions that mediate splicing.
Source: Rfam by way of RNAcentral